AGGAAGCCUCCUAUCAGACUCUCUGCCUGGCCUGAGAUAUCCAGUUAACACCUGCAAUUCAGAAUACCCUCUCACCCAGCAAUAAAGCAUCCAGCCUUUGCAUCUGUAACAACCUCCUCUGUAAUUUGUGCAUUCUAUGAAUGCUCCAAAUCAUAAUAAAAUCCAUCCAUUACUUCAGACAGAUGAAAACAGUUCCUUCUAAAAAGAGGCUAAUGUUUUUAAAAGACAGUAAGAGAAGAAUGUCAGCUCCCCAUGGCUGCAGUAGAAAGUGCUGGAUGAGAGGAGCAUCUCCAGAGCAUGGAAGACAAAGCAGCUUUAUCCUCAACUUUUCCACCUCAAUUUCCAUUUUCCUCCAAGGCAAAACUCCCACUCCUGGCAGAUUAAAUGAAAUGAAGACACUGAGCUCUGCAAGUACACUGCUUUUUGAAUCCCAGAGUGAACUUGCUUGUCAAAUGCCUCUUUAAAAAGAAAGUGAAGAUAACUGCAAGUCAGCUGGAAGUGCUGCCAAGAUAUGACCUCCAGGAAGGCCCAGAAGACAAGUGAUAU
Molecule: long non-coding RNA, 546 nt
Filed under: Homo sapiens (human)
Lineage: Eukaryota; Metazoa; Chordata; Mammalia; Primates; Hominidae
Description: novel transcript
Source: RNAcentral